This 107-nucleotide small nuclear RNA is filed under the name Moschus moschiferus (Siberian musk deer). Lineage: Eukaryota; Metazoa; Chordata; Mammalia; Artiodactyla; Moschidae. The record is from RNAcentral.
GGGCUCACUCCGACAGUACAGAUAAUAAAAUUGGAACAGUACAGAGAAGGUUAGCAUGGCUCCUGCACAAGGAUGACAUGCAAAUUCAUGAAGCGUUCCAUAUAUUU